This 495-nucleotide ribosomal RNA is filed under the name uncultured bacterium. RNAcentral describes it as "bacterial SSU rRNA". It matches the Rfam family "Bacterial small subunit ribosomal RNA", at positions 28 to 507 of the family's 1533-position model. The record is from RNAcentral.
GAUGAACGCUAGCGACAGGCUUAACACAUGCAAGUCGAGGGGCAGCAUGAUUUGUAGCAAUACAGAUUGAUGGCGACCGGCGCACGGGUGAGUAACCGCGUAUGCAACUUACCUAUCAGAGGGGGGAUAGCCCCGGCGAAACGUGGACUAACAUCCCAUAACACUCUAGAGCCGCAUGGUUCUGGAUUUAAAACCCCGGUGGUACGGGACGGGCACGCGCGACAUUAGGUAGUUGGCGGGUAACGGCCACCAAGGCAACGAUCAGUAGGGGUUCUGAGAGGAAGGUCCCCCACAUUGGAACUGAGACACGGUCCAAACUCCUACGGGAGGCAGCAGUGAGGAAUAUUGGUCAAUGGGCGACGAGCCUGAACCAGCCAAGUAGCGUGCAGGAUGACGGCCCUAAUGGGUUGUAAACCUGGCUUUUAUAAGGGAAUAAAGUGAGUCUCGUGAGGCUUUUUGCAUGUACCUUAUGAAUAAGGACCGGCUAAUUCCGUG